RNAcentral lists this ribosomal RNA (544 nucleotides) under Flavobacterium fryxellicola. RNAcentral's name for it is "bacterial SSU rRNA". It matches the Rfam family "Bacterial small subunit ribosomal RNA", at positions 196 to 740 of the family's 1533-position model. The record is from RNAcentral. Lineage: Bacteria; Pseudomonadati; Bacteroidota; Flavobacteriia; Flavobacteriales; Flavobacteriaceae.
CACUAUUAAAGAUUUAUCGGUGAAAGAUGAGCAUGCGUCCCAUUAGCUAGUUGGUAUGGUAACGGCAUACCAAGGCUACGAUGGGUAGGGGUCCUGAGAGGGAGAUCCCCCACACUGGUACUGAGACACGGACCAGACUCCUACGGGAGGCAGCAGUGAGGAAUAUUGGACAAUGGGCGCAAGCCUGAUCCAGCCAUGCCGCGUGCAGGAUGACGGUCCUAUGGAUUGUAAACUGCUUUUAUACGAGAAGAAACACUCCUUCGUGAAGGAGCUUGACGGUAUCGUAAGAAUAAGGAUCGGCUAACUCCGUGCCAGCAGCCGCGGUAAUACGGAGGAUCCAAGCGUUAUCCGGAAUCAUUGGGUUUAAAGGGUCCGUAGGCGGUCAGGUAAGUCAGUGGUGAAAGCCCAUCGCUCAACGGUGGAACGGCCAUUGAUACUGCUUGACUUGAAUUAUUAGGAAGUAACUAGAAUAUGUAGUGUAGCGGUGAAAUGCUUAGAGAUUACAUGGAAUACCAAUUGCGAAGGCAGGUUACUACUAAUAUAU